Molecule: non-coding RNA, 192 nt
Organism: Pelodiscus sinensis (Chinese soft-shelled turtle)
Lineage: Eukaryota; Metazoa; Chordata; Testudines; Trionychidae
Source: RefSeq, a predicted model, not a curated record
GCGCGCCCUAAGAAGCGAACUCUGAGACCAGCUGUUCGUGUCGCUGGAGCCCGACAGGUGAAUAUGCAGCUUGUUUAUCAGAAAAACUGGGUGCUCAGAACCAAAUUCUGUUGUUGCAGAUGCAGGAAUAUAGAAAACUCAGGCCAGGCUGCAGAACACCCGUGUCUGUCUCUAGCUCAGCCCCUGGCCUGC